RNAcentral lists this ribosomal RNA (522 nucleotides) under uncultured soil bacterium. RNAcentral describes it as "bacterial SSU rRNA". It matches the Rfam family "Bacterial small subunit ribosomal RNA", at positions 8 to 526 of the family's 1533-position model. The record is from RNAcentral.
AGAGUUUGAUCCUGGCUCAGGANGAANGCUAGCGGCAGGCCUAAUACAUGCAAGACGAACGGUAAGUUGGGUAGCAAUACUUGACCUAGAGUGUCGUAAGGGUGCGUAACACGUAUGCAAUCUGCCCUCAACAGGAGGAUAGCUCGCCGAAAGGCGAAUUAACACUCCAUAAGAUCAUGGUGUGGCAUCACACAGUGAUUAAAACUCCGGUGGUUGAGGAUGAGCAUGCGGAUGAUUAGCUAGUUGGUGAGGUAACGGCUCACCAAGGCGAUGAUCAAUAGGGGAACUGAGAGGUUGAUCCCCCACACUGGCACUGAGAUACGGGCCAGACUCCUACGGGAGGCAGCAGUAGGGAAUAUUGGACAAUGGGCGCAAGCCUGAUCCAGCCAUGCCGCGUGCAGGAAGAAGGCUUUCUGAGUUGUAAACUGCUUUUGCCAGGGGAUAAAAAGUCCCUGCGGGGAAAAUUGAAGGUACCUGGUGAAUAAGCCACGGCUAACUACGUGCCAGCAGCCGCGGUAAUUC